Long non-coding RNA from Trachemys scripta elegans, 1104 nucleotides. RefSeq lists it as uncharacterized. The transcript has 3 exons. The record is from RefSeq and is a predicted model, not a curated record. Lineage: Eukaryota; Metazoa; Chordata; Testudines; Emydidae.
GAGACAGGUAGCCCACAGUUACUCCCAGCAAGGGGAGGUGCCAGGUGGCAAGGAAAGGGCUCGGGGGAAAGUCAGAACAUCCUAGAAGGGACCAAUCCUUGACUGCAAGUUAGGGGGUCCCUGAGUUGGGACCCGGAAUCGAGGGCAUGUCCAGGUUCCCCUGCCAGCUGCUGACGGGGUGGAGGGGACGACUGGCGGGCACUGCUGAAGGAAGACAUUGGCACCCCGGCAGGGGAAGACGCGUGUAGAGACCUGGCCGGGGAGCUGAGUCACGAAGAGGCAGCAGCAGCGUGUGGCGCGACAGAAGGGGGCUGCAGACCCAGAAAGGCGGAGAGACGGCGUGUGCAGCCGUGGGACAGAGUGUCGACCUGGUGAGCUGUUACCCCCCGAACGGCCAGGAGGAGGCGCCAGCCGAGCGGAUGCUGUAAUUGGAGCACGGAUGAUUUAGCCCUAGGUUGAAGAAAAGUUUUCCAACUUACAACUCUUGAGUUAGUCACAUUCAUUUCCUGGAGCACGGGAGACUCAAAUACCUGAGGCUGCUGGACCUGUGACUUUUGGCAAGCAAGAGAAGCCGUUUUCUGUUCAAACCAGGACCCAGGAAGAGGAAAUGGAGCUAUGCAGUGCGCAUUUGGACUGGGAUGAGAGAAGUCAUGAGGGAAGCCUGGUUCUGAUUUGUCUAUACCGCCGAUUAAAUAAAAUACUUUGUUCGUUUUCAAUAACAAUGUGUCCCGUAAGUCUCGACUGAACACCGCCCACCCUUCAGCUAAGAUCACAGGAAACGGUUUCCUCACAUGUCUGGCAGCUUUGUUGGGUACUCCAGGCUUCUUUAAUGGUCUGAGAAAUCAUUUUAAUAUUUCUUAACGAGCCAAAGCUUUUGAAAAUUGUACCAGCCGUUCCCGGAGCUUUCCGUUUGAUCUCAAUGAAACCUCACCGUGACACUCUGUCCCUCAGCGUAGCAUCCUGGUGCCCUCAUAGUCACCACUUUCAUAUAUGAUAGGCUUUAUACAAUGCAUGCCUUGUGGGGUAUCCUUUUCAAAAUCUUGAUCUGUGGAGAACUAAUAUCCUGUUGGAUUGUGUGCAGGGCCAGAUUAACUCUUCUGUGGG